GCCUGGGUGGCUCAGUCAGUUGAGCAUCCGACUUCGGCUCAGGUCAUGACAUCAGUUUGUGGGUUCGAGCCCCGUGUCAGGCU
This 83-nucleotide transfer RNA is filed under the name Felis catus (domestic cat). It matches the Rfam family "tRNA". From Rfam's summary of the family: Transfer RNA (tRNA) molecules are approximately 80 nucleotides in length. Their secondary structure includes four short double-helical elements and three loops (D, anti-codon, and T loops). Further hydrogen bonds mediate the characteristic L-shaped molecular structure. tRNAs have two regions of fundamental functional importance: the anti-codon, which is responsible for specific mRNA codon recognition, and the 3' end, to which the tRNAs corresponding amino acid is attached (by aminoacyl-tRNA synthetases). tRNAs cope with the degeneracy of the genetic code in two manners: having more than one tRNA (with a specific anti-codon) for a particular amino acid; and 'wobble' base-pairing, i.e. permitting non-standard base-pairing at the 3rd anti-codon position. The record is from Rfam by way of RNAcentral. Lineage: Eukaryota; Metazoa; Chordata; Mammalia; Carnivora; Felidae. RNAcentral also lists the same sequence under 2 other names.